AUUGAACGCUGGCGGCAGGCCUAACACAUGCAAGUCGAGCGGCAGCGGAAGGAAGCUUGCUUCCUUGCCGGCGAGCGGCGGACGGGUGAGUAAGGUAUGGGGAUCUGGCCGAAGGCGGGGGAUAACCACUGGAAGCGGUGGCUAAUACCGCAUAAUCUCUAAGGAGCAAAGUGGGGGACCGUUCAGGCCUCACACCUUCGGAUGAACCCAUAUGAGAUUAGCUAGUAGGUGGGGUAAUGGCUCACCUAGGCGACGAUCUCUAGCUGGUCUGAGAGGAUGAUCAGCCACCCUGGGACUGAGACACGGCCCAGACUCCUACGGGAGGCAGCAGUGGGGAACAUUGCACAAUGGGCGCAAGCCUGAUGCAGCCAUGCCGCGUGUAUGAAGAAGGCCUUCGGGUUGUAAAGUACUUUCAGUCGUGAGGAAGGUGUUAAGGUUAAUAACCUUAGCAAUUGACGUUAGCGACAGAAGAAGCACCGGCUAACUCCGUGCCAGCCGCCGCCGUAA
This 507-nucleotide ribosomal RNA is filed under the name uncultured bacterium. RNAcentral describes it as "partial 16S ribosomal RNA". It matches the Rfam family "Bacterial small subunit ribosomal RNA", at positions 30 to 523 of the family's 1533-position model. The record is from RNAcentral.